GAGGGUAUAGCUCAGUGGUAGUAUAUGCUUAGCAUGCACAAGGUCCUGGGUUCAAUCCUCAGUAUCUCCA
RNAcentral lists this transfer RNA (70 nucleotides) under Camelus bactrianus (Bactrian camel). It matches the Rfam family "tRNA". From Rfam's summary of the family: Transfer RNA (tRNA) molecules are approximately 80 nucleotides in length. RNAcentral also lists the same sequence under 2 other names. The record is from Rfam by way of RNAcentral. Lineage: Eukaryota; Metazoa; Chordata; Mammalia; Artiodactyla; Camelidae.